Molecule: ribosomal RNA, 498 nt
Filed under: uncultured bacterium
Lineage: Bacteria
Description: partial 16S ribosomal RNA
Rfam family: Bacterial small subunit ribosomal RNA
Source: RNAcentral
GACGAACGCUGGCGGCGUGCCUAAUACAUGCAAGUCGAGCGGACGGAUGGGAGCUUGCUCCCAGACCGUCAGCCGCGGACCGGUGAGUAACACGUUGGCAACCUGCCUGUAAUACUGGGAUAACUCCGGGAAACCGGGGCUAAUACCUGAUGACUCUUUCCCUCACAUGAGGGAAAGCUGAAAUAUGGCAUCUCGCUAUCACUUACAGAUGUGCCCGCGUCGCAUUAGCUAGUUGGUGAGGUAACGGCUCACCAAGGCGACGAUGCGUAGCCGACCUGAGAGGGUGAUCAGCCACACUGGGACUGAGACACGGUCCAGACUCCUACGGGAGGCAGCAGUAGGGAAUAUUCCGCAAUGGACGAAAGUCUGACGGAGCAACGCCGCGUGAGUGAUGAAGGUCUUCGGAUCGUAAAACUCUGUUGUCAGGGAAGAAAAACUACAGGAGUAACUGCCGGUAUCUUGACGGUACCUGAACAGAAAGCCACGGCUAACUUCGUG